RNAcentral lists this ribosomal RNA (433 nucleotides) under uncultured bacterium. RNAcentral describes it as "bacterial SSU rRNA". It matches the Rfam family "Bacterial small subunit ribosomal RNA", at positions 29 to 507 of the family's 1533-position model. The record is from RNAcentral.
AACGAACGCUGGCGGCAGGCCUAACACAUGCAAGUCGAGCGGACCCUUCGGGGUUAGCGGCGGACGGGUUAGUAACGCGUGGGAACGUGCCCAAAGGUACGGAAUAGCCUCGGGAAACUGAGAGUAAUACCGUAUGUGCCCCUCGGGGGAAAGAUUUAUCGCCUUUGGAUCGGCCCGCGUUGGAUUAGGUAGUUGGUGGGGUAAUGGCCUACCAAGCCGACGAUCCAUAGCUGGUUUGAGAGGAUGAUCAGCAACACUGGGACUGAGACACGGCCCAGACUCCUACGGGAGGCAGCAGUGGGGAAUCUUAGACAAUGGGGGAAACCCUGAUCUAGCCAUGCCGCGUGGACGAUGAAGGCCUUAGGGUUGUAAAGUCCUUUCAGCUGGGAAGAUGAUGACGUUACCAACAGAAGAAGCACCGGCUAACUCCGUG